Molecule: unclassified non-coding RNA, 221 nt
Filed under: Hevea brasiliensis (rubber tree)
Lineage: Eukaryota; Viridiplantae; Streptophyta; Magnoliopsida; Malpighiales; Euphorbiaceae
Source: RNAcentral
GUGACUUAGCAUGGUGUUGGUAAAUUGGUGUGAGUGGUAAGUGGAAUUAAUUAUGUUGUGGAAGUAAUAAAUUAUAAGCAUAUUUUGAUAAAUAAAAUGGAGAAGAAGCGAAACAGCUUCUGGAGGUAAAGUGUACUAGGCAGCGCAUGAUGGUUGGGUAAGGGUGGUGAUUCUGAAACUGGUGUUGUUUUGUGUCUACUAAAUUUAUGGUAGCAUAAAAU